This 591-nucleotide long non-coding RNA is filed under the name Ananas comosus (pineapple). RNAcentral's name for it is "long non-coding RNA (ACOM_LNC002092)". Lineage: Eukaryota; Viridiplantae; Streptophyta; Magnoliopsida; Poales; Bromeliaceae. The record is from RNAcentral.
UCCGUUGUUACUUGUGCCCACUUGGACCUAGUGGGGAGAUCGGCAGAGUCGGCGGCCGAGCCCACUGGGAACUAUGGAAGAUAGUUCUCACCCCACUCUAUUUCCAGUGGUAGGUACAGGGUUACCGAGAGAGGACCGCGGCAAGGGCAUCGCGCCCGAUCAGUGAGACCGUGGUAGUAUAGUAGCUUUCCUUUUGCAUUAGCACACCUAUGUAUUGAGAGAGAUUCAUGUAGGUGAGAUUGGAGAGCUAUGUAUUUUGAGGAUCAAAUGUAUUCAUUUUGGAAAUGAUGUAAAUGUAAAAAUGCAACUAUUGUAAUAGUUAGUAAAGUACUCCCUUUAUUUCACUCGUAUAUCUUGUGGAUUACUUACUCUUCUUGUUGUUGGCACUGUUUGUGCCCUCGUUGAAUGUGUAUGUUUAGAAUUUAAAGUCCUGGGUAAAUUCUUGUACACAUUCCUGUUGUUGAGCCUUGGGCGGACAGGAGAGGUGCUGUCCGUUCGGCGGCCCGUCGCCGCGGUCGAACCGUGCCAAAUUGGUAGUGGUUUCGGGGCGGGGCGUGACAGUCCUUUGUGGUAUCAGAGCAACAAGAGCAA